This 444-nucleotide ribosomal RNA is filed under the name uncultured bacterium. Its description in RNAcentral is "bacterial SSU rRNA". It matches the Rfam family "Bacterial small subunit ribosomal RNA", at positions 29 to 520 of the family's 1533-position model. The record is from RNAcentral.
AACGAACGCUGGCGGCAGGCUUAACACAUGCAAGUCGAACGCAUCCUUCGGGAUGAGUGGCAGACGGGUGAGUAACGCGUGGGAACGUGCCCUUCAGUUCGGAAUAACCCAGGGAAACUUGGGCUAAUACCGGAUACGUGCGAGAGCAGAAAGAUUGAUCGCUGAAGGAGCGGCCCGCGUCUGAUUAGCUAGUUGGUGAGGUAACGGCUCACCAAGGCGACGAUCAGUAGCUGGUCUGAGAGGAUGAUCAGCCACACUGGGACUGAGACACGGCCCAGACUCCUACGGGAGGCAGCAGUGGGGAAUAUUGGACAAUGGGCGCAAGCCUGAUCCAGCCAUGCCGCGUGAGUGAUGAAGGCCUUAGGGUUGUAAAGCUCUUUCGCACGCGACGAUAAUGACGGUAGCGUGAGAGAAGCCCGGCUAACUUCGUGCCAGCAGCCGCCG